GAUGAACGCUGGCGGCGUGCUUAACACAUGCAAGUCGAACGGAAAGGCCCAAGCUUGCUUGGGUACUCGAGUGGCGAACGGGUGAGUAACACGUGGGUGAUCUGCCCUGCACUUCGGGAUAAGCCUGGGAAACUGGGUCUAAUACCGGAUAGGACGAUGGUUUGGAUGCCAUUGUGGAAAGUUUUUUCGGUGUGGGAUGAGCUCGCGGCCUAUCAGCUUGUUGGUGGGGUAAUGGCCUACCAAGGCGUCGACGGGUAGCCGGCCUGAGAGGGUGUACGGCCACAUUUGGACUGAGAUACGGCCCAGACUCCUACGGGAGGCAGCAGUGGGGAAUAUUGCACAAUGGGCGCAAGCCUGAUGCAGCGACGCCGCGUGGGGGAUGACGGCCUUCGGGUUGUAAACUCCUUUCGCUAGGGACGAAGCGUUUUUGUGACGGUACCUGGAGAAGAAGCACCGGCUAACUACGUG
RNAcentral lists this ribosomal RNA (468 nucleotides) under uncultured bacterium. RNAcentral's name for it is "partial 16S ribosomal RNA". It matches the Rfam family "Bacterial small subunit ribosomal RNA", at positions 28 to 507 of the family's 1533-position model. The record is from RNAcentral.